This 91-nucleotide ribosomal RNA is filed under the name Vibrio mediterranei. Lineage: Bacteria; Pseudomonadati; Pseudomonadota; Gammaproteobacteria; Vibrionales; Vibrionaceae. The record is from RNAcentral.
CACCUGAUCCCAUGCCGAACUCAGAAGUGAAACGCAAUAGCGCCGAUGGUAGUGUGGGGCUUCCCCAUGUGAGAGUAGGACAUCGCCAGGC